This 254-nucleotide ribosomal RNA is filed under the name uncultured bacterium. Its description in RNAcentral is "partial 16S ribosomal RNA". It matches the Rfam family "Bacterial small subunit ribosomal RNA", at positions 524 to 776 of the family's 1533-position model. The record is from RNAcentral.
UACGGUGGGGGCAAGCGUUGUUCGGAAUUACUGGGCGUAAAGGGCUCGUAGGCGGCCAUCUAAGUCAGACGUGAAAUCCCUCGGCUUAACCGGGGAACUGCGUCUGAUACUGGAUGGCUUGAGUUUGGGAGAGGGAUGCGGAAUUCCAGGUGUAGCGGUGAAAUGCGUAGAUAUCUGGAGGAACACCGGUGGCGAAGGCGGCAUCCUGGACCAACACUGACGCUGAGUGAGCGAAAGCCAGGGGAGCAAACGGG